ACCUCGUACCUGAACACCACGCUUGUUUGUUCACGGUCACGUGCUGCUCAGGGACGGGGCGA
This 62-nucleotide microRNA precursor is filed under the name Pteropus alecto (black flying fox). Its description in RNAcentral is "microRNA pal-mir-9987 precursor". Lineage: Eukaryota; Metazoa; Chordata; Mammalia; Chiroptera; Pteropodidae. The record is from miRBase by way of RNAcentral.